RNAcentral lists this ribosomal RNA (537 nucleotides) under Triticum aestivum (bread wheat). RNAcentral describes it as "partial small subunit ribosomal RNA". Lineage: Eukaryota; Viridiplantae; Streptophyta; Magnoliopsida; Poales; Poaceae. The record is from RNAcentral.
AUGUUUGGUGUCAGUCCAUCUGUGCUACAGCUCCAGCUUCAUUUGCCAAACAUGCAUACAGUUGCGUUUAAAGCUUCUGAGAAUCUAGAAGAUGUUGUCGCUCGACCAUCUUCUUCCAAGUCCAUGCUUACAGAGUACUUUGAGAUGAACCGAAAAUUUCCAGCGGCACGGAAAUGGUUGUAUAGAGAGUUUCCAAAACAUUAUAGAUGGAUAGCUGGAAAAAAGAUGUGGCAAAAUAGAAGAAAUAAGAGAGCACAGAUUGGAAGACUUGUGUAUGCACACCCUGCUGAAGGAGAGAGGUACUACUUGUGUGUGCUCCUAAGUCAUGUCCGAGGUGCCACUUCAUUUGAUGAUUUUGAAACCGUAAAUGGCAAGCCAUGCAGUUCCUUCAGGGAGGCAUGUGAGCACUUAGGCCACAUUGAGCACGACAGGAGUCUUGAUGAUUGCAUGAUGGAGGCUGCCGCAUUUCAGAUGCCUUGUGCCUUAAGACUGUUAUUUGCAACUAUACUGGUAUUCUGCGAGGCAACAGAAAUCUGA